CUGAUUGACCAACUGAAUGAAUAAUCUAUCAAUAAAUUUACCAAGAGACUAGUAGUAUUGUUAAUUCAUUUAUGCUGAAUGGUUACAGACUGAACAUAGUUGGGUUUCCAGAUGAGUUAUUGCCUUUUCAUAUGAUUAUUUCUGCUUGAUGGUUUCAACAUCCUUUCCCACUGCCGAGAUGGUCUGGGAUACUGUAAAGGGCCAUUAUGAAUGAGAAAAAAUAUCUAACCCUUAAAUUUAAAAUAAGAUGUAUAGGGCCAUUUCUCAGUAGUAAGUCUUGACUCUGUUACACCUUGUGGGCCUGAAUACUGCCUCACUGUUGAUGAUUGAAAAGUUAAUUGUCAAAACAUGGCACAUACCUCUUUUUUUUCCUGUCUGUACAGCUGUUUCAACAACUGACUAUGGCAGUAUUUUAAGCUUUCAAACAAUUUUUUAUCUGGAUGAGUUAAACCUGUGUCAUUGUUAUUUUUAUAUCAAUGUUCAUUAUGUUCUCACUGGCCAAGAUGCAACUUUUUGUAACAUAUUACAAUCCUUGUACAGAUGUAUGGGGUCAGAACCUAAUAAAGCACUAGUUACUCAUGUCACUACACUUUUUCCACCAUCUUCAUCUCAAACAAGAACAACCCCAUUUACUGUGUUCAAACCAUUUUUGUUUUAGCUCCAUGUGAAACAAAAGCCAGAGCUGAAGUUACAUAAAGACGUCAUCUUUACACAUCAAACCAAAUAUUUCUUCACUAAAGAGCUAGUCACCAACAGGUAGACAUUGUUUUAGUUGAAGAUUACAGUUAUGGAGGAAUCGUAUAUGAUGUCUACGGGGAUCGAAGUAUUCAAGUUGAGAUGUCGAUGUACCGAUUACAGCCCGUUCAAACAGAAGUACAGAUUAUAUUUGUAUCCUUAACCUUUCUCCAGAUUGCUAGAGGAGCAAAGAAGCCGGAAAGAUUGGGCCUAAGAAAUCAAUAAUGAAAGGCAGGAAAAUAUUAGCUUUUUGUCAGAUGAAGAAAAGCUAAUAUAGUUUAAUUACACCGAGGAGACGCUUAGUCUAUACCAAGACAGGAGAAAGUAACAACGCAGAAAGGAAGGAAAUAUUUGAAUCAUUUGUCUCUCCCAAUAUUUACGUUUACCCUGAUAGCUUGGACAAAUAUGAACAUUGGAAAGGAGAUAUUGGUAAAACUCGGGGGUCGAUCCGCCACCGUCCCCCACUACACCCACCUAUUAAAGGCAGUUUUUUUUUAGUAUUUGUAAGAGCUGCGUACUUUCUGGCGACAACAUCAUGUAACAUACAUGCGUAAUAAGACCUUUAAAUGUUACUACCACUUGGUAGAGAACUUUUUUUAAAAACUUACCAAAACUGCCACAGGAGGUGGGCGUGGUGGGGGAGGUUGGUUGGGGAAAACACAACUGUAUUGAAGAAGUGGUAAUUAAAUUCUUGUACCUAAAAAAAUGCAACUGAAUUGAUGUAAAAAAGGAUUGUUACUUACAUUAGGAGGUUAUACUAUAAUAUUAAUAAAAAAAUGUUUGUACCACAA
This is a long non-coding RNA of Pocillopora damicornis (cauliflower coral), 1526 nucleotides long. RefSeq lists it as uncharacterized. Lineage: Eukaryota; Metazoa; Cnidaria; Anthozoa; Scleractinia; Pocilloporidae. The record is from RefSeq and is a predicted model, not a curated record.